Non-coding RNA from Gasterosteus aculeatus aculeatus (three-spined stickleback), 327 nucleotides. NCBI's taxonomy places the organism in Eukaryota, Metazoa, Chordata, Actinopteri, Perciformes, Gasterosteidae. The record is from RefSeq and is a predicted model, not a curated record.
GAAAAAGAAGAAGAAGACGUGAGGGAGACGCGAGGGAGACGCAUAGGUCACCAGAGCUUGACUUUAGCAUCUUGAAUUGGUCCCAUCCUCAGGUUGGUGUGAAGGUGUGGACUCCGCUAUGAAUCAGGUGAGGACCCGGAGGAGGGAGUCCCUCUCUCUGAAGCCCCUUCUGUGUGGGGAACAUGACAGCCAGACCAAAGCUCAGAGGAUCCGUAAGAGACCAGGACCUGAACCCAGCUCUGUGAACAUGAAGCGUACACGAUACACUGUACCCUCUGCUGAUACAAGUUCACAUCAGCAGGGAGGAAAGUCUCCUGAACCCAGAUG